AUGAGACUCUCGGGGGAACGUGUGAGCAGCUUGAGGACAGGACAGGCACACUGUCAUUUCUGUAUCCCAGGGCACGGUGUAAAGGCAGAGGGAUGGUUCUCCGAACAUGGCCCCUGGCCCAGCAACAUCGCUACAGAACCUUUCAGGGCACAAACGCUCAGACCUCACCCAGACCUACUGAAUCAGAACCAGGGUCACUGGAGCAGCAGCCUGAGCAUCCAGCAAUCCCCCUGUGAUUCCGAUUCAUGCUCAAGCUUGAGAUCUGCAGCAGAGAGGCUCAGAGCCUACACUUCAGCUCCAGAGCGACUCUGUCCUCUAAAGUCAGAGGACUCAGCUUCACAUCCCGGCUCUGCCAUUUUCUAGGUGUGCUUAAUCUCUUUGUGCCCUGAUCUCCUUAUCAUAACCCUAUGCGGUUAUAUUUUAUUAUAAAGAGUAAAAGAGGUAAUGUAUUAUGUGUGUUAGAAGAGUGUAAGGCCUAGUGUAAGUGUUCAGUGAAUGCUGCUCAUCAUUUUAAAGCCUCAUGAGCCACUGUAUGUAAACGGCCUUCAUUCUCCCCAUAUAUAGUGCAAUGGGCCAGCAUCUACAAUAGGCCAGCAUCUGUCUGUUAGUCAUGUCCUCCUGUCCAUCACCUGACAUUCCC
This 640-nucleotide long non-coding RNA is filed under the name Chinchilla lanigera (long-tailed chinchilla). RNAcentral's name for it is "lncRNA (ENSCLAG00000027560.1)". The record is from RNAcentral. Lineage: Eukaryota; Metazoa; Chordata; Mammalia; Rodentia; Chinchillidae.